Molecule: long non-coding RNA, 921 nt
Organism: Oxyura jamaicensis (ruddy duck)
Lineage: Eukaryota; Metazoa; Chordata; Aves; Anseriformes; Anatidae
Exons: 4
Source: RefSeq, a predicted model, not a curated record
UUUUUUUAAUGCAUCCCCCUGCUUCUUAAUCUGAUGCUCAGAAGACAUCUGACCCUCGGCACCAGUCCCUUCGUGCCAGGCAUGCUCGGAGGCCAGGGGAGAUGGAGGCACUGCUGCUCCUGCCCUGGAGUCUCAGAGAGGCAGGAGCCUCGCAGGACAGUGUGCUGGGCUGAGGACAGAGCCCAGCUGGGGACUCGGGGUAACCAGGCUCUGUCCACAUUUCCCCCAUCACACAUCUUCCCCCAUCACCGCCUUCAUCUCCUUUCCCUUCCCUAUUAACUUCAGGAAACGGCGCUGGUAAAACACCCAGGCAGCAGCGGCGAGAGGCCUCGGCGAGCACCUCGCAGCCGGCUGGGGAAGCUCGGUCAGCAGCAAGCUCAACCCUCCUCCUGAGCAUUUGAAUUAACGGAGGGCACCAGCUUCCCCCUGCUUAGACAUUGCAGUAGGUGCAGAGGAAGAAACAGGACCAUGAUACAGAGCCUGUCCACCCAUUUGCCCCAGGGCAGCAGCGAAAAACUGCUUUUAUGCAGCAAUUUCCAUUCACGCAGCUUCAAGUGUUUCACGUCUUCACCUCAAUCCUCAGAGGGAAAUGGGCGCUGAGAGCUCAUUUGCCUCAGAAUCACCCUGCAGGUGAGGGCAGAGCUGCUGGACCAGGCUUCCCAAAGCAGCUGCCCAAAGGGAUGCUGCUCCUCUCCCCGUGAGACUCGGCCCCGGAGCUGAGCUGGGCUGAGGAAGAGGAAGGUCCCACCAGGCAGGGUCCUCCUUACUCCUCCUGGAACACGGGAGAAGCACGGCAAUAUUUUCUGAGUGCUAAAGGCUUAGGAAAACCUUCUUUACAUUUGACUUGAAAGACAGAAGAGAUGUAACAGCCUGAAGCCCACGGUUUGCUUUAGCACUUAUAGAGAAAAUUCCUUAAAAAUA